UGGGGAAUAUUGCACAAUGGGCGAAAGCCUGAUGCAGCAACGCCGCGUGAGUGAUGAAGGUCUUCGGAUUGUAAAGCUCUGUGCUUUUCAGGACGUAAUGACGGUACCAAAGGAGGAAGCCACGGCUAACUACGUGCCAGCAGCCGCGGUAAUACGUAGGUGGCGAGCGUUGUCCGGAUUUACUGGGCGUAAAGGGUGCGUAGGCGGAUGUUUAAGUGAGAUGUGAAAUACCCGG
This 235-nucleotide ribosomal RNA is filed under the name uncultured bacterium. Its description in RNAcentral is "partial 16S ribosomal RNA". It matches the Rfam family "Bacterial small subunit ribosomal RNA", at positions 355 to 606 of the family's 1533-position model. The record is from RNAcentral.